This 616-nucleotide ribosomal RNA is filed under the name Salmonella enterica. RNAcentral's name for it is "partial 23S ribosomal RNA". It matches the Rfam family "Bacterial large subunit ribosomal RNA", at positions 2238 to 2848 of the family's 2925-position model. Lineage: Bacteria; Pseudomonadati; Pseudomonadota; Gammaproteobacteria; Enterobacterales; Enterobacteriaceae. The record is from RNAcentral.
ACCCGGGUUGCGGACAGUGUCUGGUGGGUAGUUUGACUGGGGCGGUCUCCUCCUAAAGAGUAACGGAGGAGCACGAAGGUUGGCUAAUCCUGGUCGGACAUCAGGAGGUUAGUGCAAUGGCAUAAGCCAGCUUGACUGCGAGCGUGACGGCGCGAGCAGGUGCGAAAGCAGGUCAUAGUGAUCCGGUGGUUCUGAAUGGAAGGGCCAUCGCUCAACGGAUAAAAGGUACUCCGGGGAUAACAGGCUGAUACCGCCCAAGAGUUCAUAUCGACGGCGGUGUUUGGCACCUCGAUGUCGGCUCAUCACAUCCUGGGGCUGAAGUAGGUCCCAAGGGUAUGGCUGUUCGCCAUUUAAAGUGGUACGCGAGCUGGGUUUAGAACGUCGUGAGACAGUUCGGUCCCUAUCUGCCGUGGGCGCUGGAGAACUGAGGGGGGCUGCUCCUAGUACGAGAGGACCGGAGUGGACGCAUCACUGGUGUUCGGGUUGUCAUGCCAAUGGCACUGCCCGGUAGCUAAAUGCGGAAGAGAUAAGUGCUGAAAGCAUCUAAGCACGAAACUUGCCCCGAGAUGAGUUCUCCCUGAGACUUAGAGUCUCCUGAAGGAACGUUGAAGACGAC